Camelus ferus (Wild Bactrian camel) is the source of this 72-nucleotide transfer RNA. It matches the Rfam family "tRNA". From Rfam's summary of the family: Transfer RNA (tRNA) molecules are approximately 80 nucleotides in length. Their secondary structure includes four short double-helical elements and three loops (D, anti-codon, and T loops). Further hydrogen bonds mediate the characteristic L-shaped molecular structure. tRNAs have two regions of fundamental functional importance: the anti-codon, which is responsible for specific mRNA codon recognition, and the 3' end, to which the tRNAs corresponding amino acid is attached (by aminoacyl-tRNA synthetases). tRNAs cope with the degeneracy of the genetic code in two manners: having more than one tRNA (with a specific anti-codon) for a particular amino acid; and 'wobble' base-pairing, i.e. permitting non-standard base-pairing at the 3rd anti-codon position. The record is from Rfam. Lineage: Eukaryota; Metazoa; Chordata; Mammalia; Artiodactyla; Camelidae.
GAGGGUAUAGCUCAGUGGUAAAGUGCAUGCCUAGCGUGCAUGAGGUCCUGGAUUCAAUUCCCAGUGCACCCA